This 466-nucleotide ribosomal RNA is filed under the name uncultured bacterium. RNAcentral's name for it is "bacterial SSU rRNA". It matches the Rfam family "Bacterial small subunit ribosomal RNA", at positions 329 to 792 of the family's 1533-position model. The record is from RNAcentral.
UUCCAGACUCCUACGGGAGGCAGCAGUGAGGAAUAUUGGUCAAUGGGCGGGAGCCUGAACCAGCCAAGCCGCGUGAAGGAAGAAGGCGCCAGGCGUCGUAAACUUCUUUUGUCGGGGAACAAAGGGCGCCACGCGUGGCGUUGUGAGUGUACCCGAAGAAAAAGCAUCGGCUAACUCCGUGCCAGCAGCCGCGGUAAUACGGAGGAUGCGAGCGUUAUCCGGAUUUAUUGGGUUUAAAGGGUGCGUAGGUGGUUAAUUAAGUCAGCGGUGAAAGUUUGUGGCUCAACCUUAAAAUUGCCGUUGAAACUGGUUGACUUGAGUAUAUUUGAGGUAGGCGGAAUGCGUGGUGUAGCGGUGAAAUGCAUAGAUAUCACGCAGAACUCCGAUUGCGAAGGCAGCAUACCGGCGCCCAACUGACGCUGAAGCACGAAAGCGUGGGUAUCGAACAGGAUUAGAUACCCCAGUA